RNAcentral lists this ribosomal RNA (434 nucleotides) under uncultured bacterium. RNAcentral's name for it is "bacterial SSU rRNA". It matches the Rfam family "Bacterial small subunit ribosomal RNA", at positions 29 to 506 of the family's 1533-position model. The record is from RNAcentral.
AACGAACGCUGGCGGCAUGCCUAACACAUGCAAGUCGAACGAGGCCCUUCGGGGUUUAGUGGCGCACGGGUGCGUAACGCGUGGGAAUCUGCCCUUUGGUUCGGAAUAACAGCUGGAAACGGCUGCUAAUACCGGAUGAUGACGAAAGUCCAAAGAUUUAUCGCCAGAGGAUGAGCCCGCGUUGGAUUAGGUAGUUGGUGGGGUAAAGGCCUACCAAGCCGACGAUCCAUAGCUGGUCUGAGAGGAUGAUCAGCCACACUGGGACUGAGACACGGCCCAGACUCCUACGGGAGGCAGCAGUGGGGAAUAUUGGACAAUGGGCGCAAGCCUGAUCCAGCAAUGCCGCGUGAGUGAUGAAGGCCCUAGGGUUGUAAAGCUCUUUUACCCGGGAAGAUAAUGACUGUACCGGGAGAAUAAGCCCCGGCUAACUCCGU